AUUUCCCGGCCGCGGUCUCUUGACCGUGCAAAGGUAGCAUAAUCAUUAGUCUUUUAAUAGAAGGCUGGAAUGAAUGGUCCAACGAAAAACUGACUGUCUCAAUUUAUUUCUUUUAAAAAUUAAUUUUUUAGUUAAAAAGCUAAAAUAAUAUUGGAAGACGAGAAGACCCUAUAGAUCUUUAUAAAUUUUAAUUUAUUUUAUAAAUAUAAAAUUAUUUAAUUUGAAAUUUAUUUUGUUGGGGUGACAAAAAUAUAUGAAAAACUUUUUUAUUUAAAUAGCAUUAAUUUAUGUAUAUAAGAUCCAUUUUUAUUGAUUAUUAGAUUAAGUUACCUUAGGGAUAACAGCGUAAUUUCCUUCCAAAGUUCAUAUUUACAAGGGAGUUUGCGACCUCGAUGUUGGAUUAAGAUAAUAGUUAGGUGCAGUUAUUUAACUUAUAGGUCUGUUCGACCUUUAAAUUCUUACAUGAUCUGAG
RNAcentral lists this ribosomal RNA (472 nucleotides) under Scapanea frontalis. RNAcentral describes it as "partial 16S ribosomal RNA". It matches the Rfam family "Bacterial large subunit ribosomal RNA", at positions 1922 to 2609 of the family's 2925-position model. The record is from RNAcentral. Lineage: Eukaryota; Metazoa; Arthropoda; Insecta; Odonata; Libellulidae.